AAAGUCGUAACAAGGUUUCCGUAGGUGAACCUGCGGAAGGAUCAUUAACACGUAUCCACCUUACAAACCAACCCGAUGCGUAUCGAAGAUCAAGUAUACGUAGUUAUAUUCGAUUCAUUGCUACUUGGCACUUUUGUGGAUGGUUGGUUGAGUGUCUUCGGAUGCUUGCUGAUCGUUUACGGAUGUGUUUUGAGUCUUUGAGUUGGAUGUCUCGACGGUGCGCUUCAUGUGUUCGCAAGGAUGCAUGCUGCAGCUUGAUUGACGACUCGUGUCACCCUUUUUUACCCCAUUAACCUUAUAAUCUAAACCAUGAUCUCUAGCUUGAGCGUCUUCGUGAUGCUCGUUAGAAUCAUAUUAUUUAACAAGAACAACUCUUAGCAACGGAUGUCUUGGUUCUC
RNAcentral lists this unclassified non-coding RNA (398 nucleotides) under Basidiomycota sp. RNAcentral's name for it is "partial contains small subunit ribosomal RNA and internal transcribed spacer 1". The stretch from base 1 to 47 matches the Rfam family "Eukaryotic small subunit ribosomal RNA", at positions 1785 to 1831 of the family's 1831-position model. The record is from RNAcentral. Lineage: Eukaryota; Fungi; Basidiomycota.